AAGACAAGCCCCGCCAUGCUGCCGCUGCCCCCACGGCCUCGCUUCCGUUUUGGGGCGGGAGCUGAGGAGGCCUCGUGGCCGCUGAGCCAAAACGUCUAUGGGGCCUGGUGCCCCUCACCCUCUUGCUCCCUUCCCCUUUCUCCUACCCCUUCCCCCACCUAUGUCUCCCCUCCUCCCAGCUCUCCCCUCUGAGCCCCUCACCCUUCCUUUUCCCUCCUCCUCCCUCUCCUCCUCUAUCGGGACCAUCAUCAUGGUUGGUCACUGUGAGUAGGACUUCGCCAGCCCACCCAGGAACCCCAGAGCCCUUACAACGGUCCACAUGCCCCGCCACCACCUUCUAGACCCUCAUCUCCGCAGUCCAUCUCCAGCCUCACUGUCCCUGGAAGAAGCCCCGCAGGCUCCAGCCCCAGGGCCUCCAUACACCCUGCACAGGCAAUUCUGUUCUCCCAGCUCCCGAGAGACAGAAGCUGACCCUGUUUUGCUUAUCGAUGUAUCUCCAGCACCUGGAAAAAUGCCUGGCACAUAGCAGGUACUCAAUAAAUACUUUACUCAAUCAGCUAAUUAACUCAUUAAUUAAUCAAGUAACUGAUCGAUUGAUUAAUUAAUUAAUAUCACUUCAUUGAAUUCCUUAAGGCCUUCAACAGCCUUCAGCUAUGCAGUUGCCUUUUUUUUUAAUGACUUUUGUAGUUCUCGGAAAUUAGCCAGUUAACUAAAAUCUGCGGUCUGCCUGGCCCUGACACCCUCCUCCACUUCCUUGAUACUGACCUGCCUUGACCAUCUCACCCAAUCUAACUCUGAUUCAUGACCAAGUCUUCAAGGUCCAAAUGUACGUGAUGCUUACCCAAGAGGGCUGCAAGGCCAUGGCUGGA
This 869-nucleotide long non-coding RNA is filed under the name Homo sapiens (human). RNAcentral's name for it is "non-protein coding lnc-BRI3BP-7:1". The record is from RNAcentral. Lineage: Eukaryota; Metazoa; Chordata; Mammalia; Primates; Hominidae.